UGACCACAUUAGACUGAAAGUA
RNAcentral lists this microRNA (22 nucleotides) under Glycine max (soybean). RNAcentral describes it as "gma-miR9754". The record is from miRBase by way of RNAcentral. Lineage: Eukaryota; Viridiplantae; Streptophyta; Magnoliopsida; Fabales; Fabaceae.